RNAcentral lists this transfer RNA (73 nucleotides) under Carphodactylus laevis. RNAcentral's name for it is "tRNA-Asn". Lineage: Eukaryota; Metazoa; Chordata; Lepidosauria; Squamata; Carphodactylidae. The record is from RNAcentral.
UAGAUUGAAGCCCUCUGGUUUGGGUUUUUGGUUGUUAACUAAAUUUUUACGGGAUCGAGGCCCGUCAAUCUAG